GCGGAUGUGGUGCACGGUGCACCGCUGCCUUCCGUUGAUGAUUUCGGCAAGUCAUGCUCAAGCAGCUACUGGGGUUCGACUCCCCACGUCCGCG
Non-coding RNA from Mycena galericulata, 94 nucleotides. NCBI's taxonomy places the organism in Eukaryota, Fungi, Basidiomycota, Agaricomycetes, Agaricales, Mycenaceae. The record is from the annotation of a GenBank genome assembly.